Molecule: ribosomal RNA, 620 nt
Filed under: uncultured Alphaproteobacteria bacterium
Lineage: Bacteria; Pseudomonadati; Pseudomonadota; Alphaproteobacteria
Description: bacterial SSU rRNA
Rfam family: Bacterial small subunit ribosomal RNA
Source: RNAcentral
CCUUUUGGUUCGGAAUAACACGGGGAAACUUGUGCUAAUACCGAAUAAGCCCUUACGGGGAAAGUUUUAACGCCGAAAGAUGAGCCCGCACUUGAUUAGCUAGUUGGUAAGGUAAAAGCUUACCAAGGCAACGAUCAAUAGCUGUUCUUAGAGGAAGACCAGCCACAUUGGGACUGAGACACGGCCCAGACUCCUACGGGAGGCAGCAGUGGGGAAUCUUGCACAAUGGGGGAAACCCUGAUGCAGCGAUGCCGCGUGAGUGAAGAAGGCCCUUGGGUUGUAAAACUCUUUCGUCGGGGAAGAAAAUGACUGUACCCGAAUAAGAAGAUCCGGCUAACUUCGUGCCAGCAGCCGCGGUAAUACGAAGGGACCUAGCGUAGUUCGGAAUUACUGGGCUUAAAGAGUUCGUAGGUGGUUAAAAAAGUUGGUUGUGAAAUCCCGAAGCUUAACUUCGGAACUGCAAUCAAAACUUUUUAGCUAGAGUAUGAUAGAGGAAAGCAGAAUUUCUAGUGUAGAGGUGAAAUUCGUAGAUAUUAGAAAGAAUACCAAUUGCGAAGGCAGCUUUCUGGAUCAUUACUGACGCUGGGGAACGAAAGCAUGGGUAGCGAAGAGGAUUAGAU